Molecule: ribosomal RNA, 446 nt
Filed under: uncultured bacterium
Lineage: Bacteria
Description: partial 16S ribosomal RNA
Rfam family: Bacterial small subunit ribosomal RNA
Source: RNAcentral
CCUACGGGAUGCAGCAGUCGAGAAUCAUUCACAAUGGGGGAAACCCUGAUGGUGCGACGCCGCGUGGGGGAAUGAAGGUCUUCGGAUUGUAAACUCCUGUCAUGUGGGAGCAAAUUAUAAAGAUAGUACCACAAGAGGAAGAGACGGCUAACUCUGGGCCAGCAGCCGCGGUAAUACAGAGGGCUCAAGCGUUGUUCGGAAUUACUGGGCGUAAAGGGUGCGUAGGCUGUUUCGUAAGUCGUGUGUGAAAGGCGCGGGCUCAACCCGCGGACGGCACAUGAUACUGCGAGACUAGAGUAAUGGAGGGGGAACCGGAAUUCUCGGUGUAGCAGUGAAAUGCGUAGAUAUCGAGAGGAACACUCGUGGCGAAGGCGGGUUCCUGGACAUUAACUGACGCUGAGGCACGAAGGCCAGGGGAGCGAAAGGGAUUAGAUACCCGGGUAGUC